RNAcentral lists this ribosomal RNA (253 nucleotides) under uncultured bacterium. Its description in RNAcentral is "partial 16S ribosomal RNA". It matches the Rfam family "Bacterial small subunit ribosomal RNA", at positions 524 to 776 of the family's 1533-position model. The record is from RNAcentral.
UACGUAGGUGGCGAGCGUUGUCCGGAAUUACUUGGCGUAAAGGGCGCGUAGGCGGUUGGAUAAGUCAGCUGUGAAAACCACGGGCUUAACUCGUGGCCUGCAGUUGAGACUGUCUGGCUUGAGUGUGGGAGAGGAGAGUGGAAUUCCUGGUGUAGCGGUGAAAUGCGUAGAUAUCAGGAGGAACACCGGUGGCGAAGGCGGCUCUCUGGACCACAACUGACGCUGAGGCGCGAAAGCUAGGGGAGCAAACAGG